Molecule: long non-coding RNA, 669 nt
Organism: Alexandromys fortis (reed vole)
Lineage: Eukaryota; Metazoa; Chordata; Mammalia; Rodentia; Cricetidae
Exons: 3
Source: RefSeq, a predicted model, not a curated record
GCAACCCGUGCCCAGCAGUGGCAGGAGCAACCGUGCCCAGCAGUGGCAAGAGCAACCGUGCCCAGCAGUGGCAAGAGCAACCGUGCCCAGCAGUGGCAGGAGCUCACCUUCAGACACUGACAUGAAUUGAUGUGAUAGUAACGAUGACUCUGACAUCAUGUCAACACCUUCUGGCUCCCACACCCAGGGCAAGAUGAACGAGGAUGAGACUAUUAACUUCCAGGCGUGGCCCAGCUUCUGGGGUCUCCAUAGUCACAGUGGGGCAUCGGUAGAGACAUCUGCAAAGUCAGAUGACUGUCUAGCUCCCUGUCAUCCCGACCACAGUCCACAGACGUGAGAGCACCACCAAGUCCCAGUUAGGAGACGGUGUUCUGUUCUGACAGGAGCAGAUGUGGGGACCUUCUUGCCGGACUCUUUCCCCAGGAAGUUAGCGCCAGUGGACCAUCUCAGACCUCUAAUGAAGUGACCAUCGUGUGGACCACUCUGUCCUGAUGGCAACUGGCAGACAAAAUAGAAAUUACUAUGAAGAAAGGAUGAUGGGAAGAACUGGUACCUUGUGUGGUUAAGAAGUCCAAAGGCAGGCCCUGUUCUUAUCCACCACAAGCACCAACAGGGAAACUGAGUCCCAGAAACCUUGUGUCACUGACCAGAGUGUAACCUCACCUUGAG